Molecule: ribosomal RNA, 500 nt
Filed under: uncultured bacterium
Lineage: Bacteria
Description: partial 16S ribosomal RNA
Rfam family: Bacterial small subunit ribosomal RNA
Source: RNAcentral
AUUGAACGCUGGCGGCAUGCCUUACACAUGCAAGUCGAACGGCAGCACGGGAGCAAUCCUGGUGGCGAGUGGCGAACGGGUGAGUAAUGUAUCGGAACGUGCCCAGUCGUGGGGGAUAACGUAGCGAAAGCUACGCUAAUACCGCAUACGAUCUGUGGAUGAAAGCGGGGGACCGUAAGGCCUCGCGCGAUUGGAGCGGCCGAUAUCAGAUUAGGUAGUUGGUGGGGUAAAGGCCUACCAAGCCGACGAUCUGUAGCUGGUCUGUGAGGACGACCAGCCACACUGGGGCUGAGACACGGCCCAGGCUCCUACGGGAGGCAGCAGUGGGGAAUUUUGGACAAUGGGCGCAAGCCUGAUCCAGCAAUGCCGCGUGCAGGAUGAAGGCCUUCGGGUUGUAAACUGCUUUUGUACGGAGCGAAAAGGCUCUCUCUAAUACAGGGGGCUCAUGACGGUACCGUAAGAAUAAGCACCGGCUAACUACGUGCCAGCCGCCGCCGUAA